Molecule: long non-coding RNA, 704 nt
Filed under: Nicotiana benthamiana
Lineage: Eukaryota; Viridiplantae; Streptophyta; Magnoliopsida; Solanales; Solanaceae
Description: long non-coding RNA (NBEN_LNC021430)
Source: RNAcentral
UUGAGUCAGGCUUUGGCCAACAAGGAGGCAAAGAAGAAGAUGAGUAGUAGUAAUGCUAAAGCCUUAAAUUCGAUGAAACAGAAAUUGAAAAAGAAUAACAAGCAGUAUGAGGAGUUGAUUAACAAGUACAGGGAAAAUCCUCCCGAGAGUGAGGAUGAGGCUGGUGAUGAUGAAGAGUCGGAAGAGGAAGAAGAGGAUGAUGAAGAGGAGUUUGAGGAGGACCCAACAAAGAUUGCAGCUGCAUCUGAUGAGGAAGAUGACGAAGAUGAAAGUCGGGAUGAGACAGCUGAGAGUGGUACCGGGUGGGAGAAGAUGCUGAGCAAGAAAGAAAAACUUUUGGAUAAACAGUUCAAGGAUCCAAGUCAAAUCACGUGGGAGACAGUCAACAAGAAGUUCAAGGAAAUUGUUGCCGCUAGGGGUAGAAAGGGGACUGGAAAGAUUGAAUUGGUUGAACAGCUCACCUUCUUGACCAAGGUGGCCAAGACUCCAGCACAAAAGCUUGAAAUUCUGUUUAGUGUUGUGUCUGCGCAGUUUGAUGUUAAUCCAAGUCUCAAUGGACACAUGCCUUUUUAGUGUUGUUUCUGCGCAGUUUGAUGUUAAUCCAAGUCUCAGUGGACACAUGCCUAUAAAUGUGUGGAAAAAGUGCGUGCAGAAUAUGCUUACCAUCCUCGACGUUUUGACCCAAUACCCAAACAUUGUGGUUG